AGAGUUUGAUCAUGGCUCAGGAUGAACGCUGGCGGUGUGCCUAAUACAUGCAAGUCGAGCGGAAAGGUUCUGCACUUAGUAUUUGACCAAAUAGGUCCGGAAACGGAAACCAUUUGAGCGUCAAUCUCCCGGCUAGGAGAUUGGAGUCGAAUCCUGGGUGUAGAAUACUCGAGCGGCGGACGGGUGAGUAACGCGUAAGAAUGUACCCCAAACUGAGGGAUAACUGCUCGAAAGAGUAGCUAAUACCGCAUGUGCUCUACGGAGUAAAGCUUCGGCGGUUUGGGAACAGCUUGCGUACGAUUAGCUAGUUGGUAAGGUAAUGGCUUACCAAGGCGACGAUCGUUAGCUGGUCUGAGAGGAUGAUCAGCCACACUGGGACUGAGACACGGCCCAGACUCCUACGGGAGGCAGCAGUAGGGAAUUUUCCACAAUGGGGGCAACCCUGAUGGAGCAACACCGCGUGCAGGAUGAAGGCCCUAGGGUCGUAAACUGCUUUUGUCUGUGACGAAUAUGACGGUAGCAGACGAAUAAGGAUCGGCUAACUACGUGCCAGCAGCCGCGGUCAUACGUAGGAUCCGAGCGUUAUCCGGAUUUACUGGGCGUAAAGAGUUGCGUAGGUGGCAUAGUAAGUAGACAGUGAAAUCCUGGGGCUCAACCCCUUCAACAUUGCCUAAACUACUAAGCUAGAGAAUGAGAGAGGUUACUGGAAUUCCUUGUGUAGGAGUGAAAUCCGUAGAUAUAAGGAGGAACACCGAUGGCGUAGGCAGGUAACUGGCUCAUUUCUGACACUAAGGCACGAAAGCGUGGGGAGCAAACGGGAUUAGAUACCUCGUAGUCC
RNAcentral lists this ribosomal RNA (838 nucleotides) under uncultured bacterium. RNAcentral describes it as "bacterial SSU rRNA". It matches the Rfam family "Bacterial small subunit ribosomal RNA", at positions 8 to 796 of the family's 1533-position model. The record is from RNAcentral.